UGAGGAAUAUUGGACAAUGGGCGCAAGCCUGAUCCAGCAAUGCCGCGUGCAGGAUGAAGGCCUUCGGGUUGUAAACUGCUUUUGUACGGAGCGAAAAGGUCUGCCCUAAUACGGUGGGCUCAUGACGGUACCGUAAGAAUAAGCACCGGCUAACUACGUGCCAGCAGCCGCGGUAAUACGUAGGGUGCGAGCGUUAAUCGGAAUUACUGGGCGUAAAGCGUGCGCAGGCGGUUAUAUAAGACAGAUGUGAAAUCCCCGGGCUCAACCUGGGACCUGCAUUUGUGGCUGUAUAGCUAGAGUAAGGUAGAGCGGGAUGGAAUUCCGCGUGUAGCAGUGAAAUGCGUAGAUAUGCGGAGGAACACCGAUGGCGAAGGCAAUCCCCUGGCCCUGUACUGACGCUAAUGCACGAAAGCGUGGGGAGCAGAC
This 426-nucleotide ribosomal RNA is filed under the name uncultured bacterium. Its description in RNAcentral is "bacterial SSU rRNA". It matches the Rfam family "Bacterial small subunit ribosomal RNA", at positions 355 to 773 of the family's 1533-position model. The record is from RNAcentral.